This 245-nucleotide ribosomal RNA is filed under the name uncultured Sphingomonas sp. RNAcentral describes it as "partial 16S ribosomal RNA". It matches the Rfam family "Bacterial small subunit ribosomal RNA", at positions 524 to 768 of the family's 1533-position model. The record is from RNAcentral. Lineage: Bacteria; Pseudomonadati; Pseudomonadota; Alphaproteobacteria; Sphingomonadales; Sphingomonadaceae.
UACGGAGGGGGCUAGCGUUGUUCGGAAUUACUGGGCGUAAAGCGCACGUAGGCGGCUUUGUAAGUUAGAGGUGAAAGCCCGGGGCUCAACCCCGGAAUAGCCUUUAAGACUGCAUCGCUUGAACACGGGAGUGGUGAGUGGAAUUCCGAGUGUAGAGGUGAAAUUCGUAGAUAUUCGGAAGAACACCAGUGGCGAAGGCGGCUCACUGGACCGUUGUUGACGCUGAGGUGCGAAAGCGUGGGGAG